GCCCGUCUGGCUCAGAAGAUGAGCUGGAGGAGACUGGUGCCAGUUUUGCCCGUCUGGCUCAGAAGAUGAGCUGGAGGAGACUGGUGUCAGUUUUGCCCGUCUGGCUCAGAAGAUGAGCUGGAGGUGACUGGUGCCCACUUUGCCCGUCUGGCUCAGAAGAUGAGCUGGAGGCGACUGGUGCCCACUUUGCCCUCUGGCUGUCUCCCCAGCUUCGGACAUGUGACUGGAAGUGUCGACAGAAGUCCCCGGCACUCAACAAAGACGACAACAGGAAGCCAUUCCACUUCAUUCAGCUCCAGGAGAUCUGCGAGCACAAAGGUGGCUCCCUGAACGUGUUCACAGGCCUCCCUGGUGCUGCGAGCACAAAGGUGGCUCCCUGAACGUGUUCACAGGCCUCCCUGGUGCUGUCCAUGACGCGCAGGUCCAGCGGUGGAGCUCAGUUUACACGGGGCAACUCACUCCACCUCCGGGAUGGUGCGUCAUUCGGGACAGGGGAUGGGGUAUGUCCCUGCUUGGCUGCACCCAUGUACCUCUCCAAAAUCCUGCUCAGGCCAGGUACAACCGACACCUUUCCACGACCAGGCGUGUGGCAGAGAGGGUGAUGUGGAUGAAGGACCAGUGGCUCGGUAUCUUCCUGAAGGCCUUUGAGGGGAAGUCUACCUUUGUGCCGGUGGUCGUGUCCACAUGUGCCUUCCUCCACAACCUCUGCAUCAGCAGCAAUGGGGACAUGGUGGAGCCAGAUGUGGAGGGGGGUCGACCAUGAGGGGGAGGGUGAGAGCCAUCUCUACCAACCCAACGACCAGCUGCCCUGUCUGCUCCUGGUACUGCCAACCCUGCAGACUGGCAGCUGCAGUGUCUGCUCCUGGUACUGCCAACUCUGCAGACUGGCAACUGCCCUGUCUGCUCCUGGUACUGCCAACCCUGCAGACUGGCGGCUGCCCUGUCUUCUCCUGGUACUGCCAACCCUGCAGACUGGCGGCUGCCCUGUCUGCUCCUGGUACUGCCAACCCUGCAGACUGGCAGCUGCCCUGUCUGCUCCUGGUACUGCCAUCCCUGCAGACUGGCUUUAUUGCGAAGGAGGUAAUGAUUCACAAACUAACUCGGAAUGUACUUCUUAAAUGACAAACUUACUAGUGCGCACAGUAAGUUUUUUUUUGAUGUUCCAGAGUUUUAAUCGGCCAAAAUACUAUAUAACAUUUUUUUUCUGCCAUUUGAUUGGGUAAACCUGUGAUCGGGACAGGCCGAUGGCAACAUGUGGCUACACGCCUGCCAAGCUAGCUGUAGCAGGCAUCUCUUCUUCAGCUUUUCGUCCUCGUCUUCAGUAUAAGUUGUUAUGCAGCAGAUGGCGUUUUGUUCCAUUCCUAGAGCACUUUUUCAGUUAGACGAAGAUAAGCACAGGUGAGCUAGCGUCCCAUAAGACUCACUCCCCUUGGCUUUCCCCCAUUCGGUAAGCAGGUAAGAAGCUCAGGCCUGCAGGUGAGGGACGGGGCUGAGAGAGAGAGAGAGAGAGAGAGAGAGAGAGAGAGAGAGAGAAAGAUGCAUUUGGUUAAACUGGAAGGUUUCUUAAUUUCAUUUUAAUUCAGUGAGGCUUUGGACCCAAAACCAGAACGUUUGAUGACAACUGAACUGCAGGAGCUAUUAAGGAUGAGCCCUUUCCUGAACCUGGUUUUACUUUGGACUUAGAUGGUCUAACAGGACCUGCGCUCGAAUGUAAGAGUGUAGAAAAUCCAGAUCUGUACAUACUGAACAGUAAGGCACUAUACUGAUGUUGUGUAAAGGCUUCAAACGGUUAAUUAAAUGGAAGAACAGACACGGAGAGGAAAACCUACAUCCAGAUAGUGCUGUUAAACCAGUGUGGUAUGGAAGCAUAAUCCCUACAUUGAGUUGACAGUGGAAACGCAAAAAAACUCCUCCUCUGUGGACAUUUUUAAAAGAAAACUUAAGACAUAUCUUUUUAGCCUGGGUUUUACUUAAGGUGCCUCAUCAUUUGUUGUUUUAUUCAUCUAUUGUUGUUUUAUUCUUUUAUUAUUUUAUUUGUUGUUUUGCUUUUUUUGUGCCUUUGUUUAUUGUCUUUUGGUCAUGUGCAGCACAUUGGGCUACAGCCACUGUAUGAAAUGUGCUAUAUGAAUAAAGAUUGAUUGAUUGAUUGAAACUGGGCUUUUGGGGUUCAGGGAGAGAAGGAUCUGAUUCGGACACAGGGAGACGGGGCCCGGGGAGAGAAGGAUCUGAUCCGGACACAGGGAGAUGGGGUCCAGGGCCGUCAGGAAUCAGAAUCAUGCUCUUCUGCCAUUCUCAUCUUCAGCACUGGUUGCUUGGUAACGGACUACAGGCUUUGCUCUCUUUAUCAGGCUCUUCUGGACUGUAAAGGCACAGCCUGCCCCCAACACCACCAGCACACCACCAGAAACCCUACACUAAAGGCUUCAACAGGCCAUUUUCAUACUUUCUGGAGCCAGGUAGUCUAUAGGCCCAUACAUUUCAGUACAUUCACAUUUCACAAUACAUUGUGAAAAUACACUCAUUUUAUGCAAAUUCCAUAAGAACUGUUAGUCUAAUUAAAAGGGAAUCAGUCUUCUUUUCAAUAAUUGUCAGGCCUUAGUACACUGAUAGGCAACAAUCAUUGUUUGAUAAAUGUUUUAUUUAGCAAUUCUGUGGAAAAACAGCUAAAUUGACAAAGCUAGGCUACAUCUUAGAAACCAUAGCCUAAGAUUGCAAAAGCCUAAAACCUAUACUUUUGUGUCUCUUAUGUGUAUUGUGCUCAAAGGGACAAUAAAACAUGAGGCAUUGUGGAAAAAAUAAAUUUUAUUUUAUAUUA
Anguilla anguilla (European eel) is the source of this 2815-nucleotide RNA transcript. RefSeq lists it as uncharacterized. Lineage: Eukaryota; Metazoa; Chordata; Actinopteri; Anguilliformes; Anguillidae. The transcript has 4 exons. The record is from RefSeq and is a predicted model, not a curated record.